CCAGCUCCAAUAGCGUAUAUUAAAGUUGUUGCAGUUAAAAAGCUCGUAGUUGAACCUUGGGUCUGGCUGGCCGGUCCGCCUCACCGCGAGUACUGGUCCGGCUGGACCUUUCCUUCUGGGGAAUCCCAUGGCCUUCACUGGCUGUGGGGGGAACCAGGACUUUUACUGUGAAAAAAUUAGAGUGUUCAAAGCAGGCCUUUGCUCGAAUACAUUAGCAUGGAAUAAUAGAAUAGGACGUGCGGUUCUAUUUUGUUGGUUUCUAGGACCGCCGUAAUGAUUAAUAGGGAUAGUCGGGGGCGUCAGUAUUCAGCUGUCAGAGGUGAAAUUCUUGGAUUUGCUGAAGACUAACUACUGCGAAAGCAUUCGCCAAGGAUGUUUUCAUUAAUCAGGGAACGAAAGUUAGGGGAUCGAAGACGAUCAGAUACCGUCGUAGUCUUAACCAUAAACUAUGCCGACUAGGGAUCGGGCGGUGUUUCUAUGAUGACCCGCUCGGCACCUUACGAGAAAUCAAAGUUUUUGGGUUCUGGGGGGAGUAUGGUCGCAAGGCUGAAACUUAAAGAAAUUGACGGAAGGGCACCACAAGGCGUGGAGCCUGCGGCUUAAUUUGACUCAACACGGGGAAACUCACCAGGUCCAGACAAAAUAAGGAUUGACAGAUUGAGAGCUCUUUCUUGAUCUUUUGGAUGGUGGUGCAUGGCCGUUCUUAGUUGGUGGAGUGAUUUGUCUGCUUAAUUGCGAUAACGAACGAGACCUCGGCCCUUAAAUAGCCCGGUCCGCAUUUGCGGGCCGCUGGCUUCUUAGGGGGACUAUCGGCUCAAGCCGAUGGAAGUGCGCG
This 835-nucleotide ribosomal RNA is filed under the name Aspergillus terreus. RNAcentral's name for it is "SSU rRNA". It matches the Rfam family "Eukaryotic small subunit ribosomal RNA", at positions 585 to 1449 of the family's 1831-position model. Lineage: Eukaryota; Fungi; Ascomycota; Eurotiomycetes; Eurotiales; Aspergillaceae. The record is from RNAcentral.